Molecule: non-coding RNA, 76 nt
Organism: Myotis lucifugus (little brown bat)
Lineage: Eukaryota; Metazoa; Chordata; Mammalia; Chiroptera; Vespertilionidae
Source: Rfam
GAGACACCCUUAUGGGGCAUGACUUGCUUCAGUGGGGCUUUGGUGCUCACUGAGUCUGCCCCCUGAGUGUGUCCCU